GCGGGGGUGCCCGAGCCCGGCUAAAGGGGGCGGACUCAAGAUCCGCUGGCGUAGGCCUGCGUGGGUUCAAAUCCCACCCCCCGCACCA
Molecule: transfer RNA, 88 nt
Filed under: Thermoprotei archaeon
Lineage: Archaea; Thermoproteati; Thermoproteota; Thermoprotei
Also listed under: 1 other name
Description: tRNA-Leu
Rfam family: tRNA
About the family: Transfer RNA (tRNA) molecules are approximately 80 nucleotides in length. Their secondary structure includes four short double-helical elements and three loops (D, anti-codon, and T loops).
Source: RNAcentral